CUGGCACCCAAAUCUAAGAAUUACAGUUCUCCUAACAGUGAUUUACACAGUGGUAUGAAGAACAAGCGAAUUUCGUUGCCUUUAGGAGGCUGUGCCAUGCCCAUCAGAGUGAAUAUGGAGGUUCUGCAGCC
This 131-nucleotide small nucleolar RNA is filed under the name Dasypus novemcinctus (nine-banded armadillo). RNAcentral describes it as "Small nucleolar RNA SNORA68 (ENSDNOG00000035813.1)". It matches the Rfam family "Small nucleolar RNA SNORA68". From Rfam's summary of the family: U68 is a member of the H/ACA class of small nucleolar RNAs (snoRNAs) which act as guides in the the modification of uridines to pseudouridines. The record is from RNAcentral. Lineage: Eukaryota; Metazoa; Chordata; Mammalia; Cingulata; Dasypodidae.